AUGGAAGAUUUGAUGACUUCAUCUUGCGUACUUUGAGGAUUUGGAAACUUCAGCUUGCAUACUUGGAGGAUUUAAAAACUUCGAUU
This 86-nucleotide microRNA precursor is filed under the name Solanum lycopersicum (tomato). RNAcentral's name for it is "MIR8024 microRNA precursor family". It matches the Rfam family "MIR8024 microRNA precursor family". Lineage: Eukaryota; Viridiplantae; Streptophyta; Magnoliopsida; Solanales; Solanaceae. The record is from Rfam by way of RNAcentral.